GAACGAGUUAUCUGAACCUUCGGGGAACGAUAGCGGCGUCGAGCGGCGGACGGGUGAGUAAUGCCUAGGAAAUUGCCCUGAUGUGGGGGAUAACCAUUGGAAACGAUGGCUAAUACCGCAUAAUGCCUACGGGCCAAAGAGGGGGACCUUCGGGCCUCUCGCGUCAGGAUAUGCCUAGGUGGGAUUAGCUAGUUGGUGAGGUAAGGGCUCACCAAGGCGACGAUCCCUAGCUGGUCUGAGAGGAUGAUCAGCCACACUGGAACUGAGACACGGUCCAGACUCCUACGGGAGGCAGCAGUGGGGAAUAUUGCACAAUGGGCGCAAGCCUGAUGCAGCCAUGCCGCGUGUGUGAAGAAGGCCUUCGGGUUGUAAAGCACUUUCAGUCGUGAGGAAGGUAGUGUAGUUAAUAGCUGCAUUAUUUGACGUUAGCGACAGAAGAAGCACCGGCUAACUCCGUGCCAGCAGCCGCGGUAAUACGGAGGGUGCGAGCGUUAAUCGGAAUUACUGGGCGUAAAGCGCAUGCAGGUGGUUUGUUAAGUCAGAUGUGAAAGCCCGGGGCUCAACCUCGGAAUUGCAUUUGAAACUGGCAGACUAGAGUACUGUAGAGGGGGGUAGAAUUUCAGGUGUAGCGGUGAAAUGCGUAGAGAUCUGAAGGAAUACCGGUGGCGAAGGCGGCCCCCUGGACAGAUACUGACACUCAGAUGCGAAAGCGUGGGGAGCAAACAGGAUUAGAUACCCUGGUAGUCCACGCCGUAAACGAUGUCUACUUGGAGGUUGUGGCCUUGAGCCGUGGCUUUCGGAGCUAACGCGUUAAGUAGACCGCCUGGGGAGUACGGUCGCAAGAUUAAAACUCAAAUGAAUUGACGGGGGCCCGCACAAGCGGUGGAGCAUGUGGUUUAAUUCGAUGCAACGCGAAGAACCUUACCUACUCUUGACAUCCAGAGACUUUCCAGAAAAUGGAUUGGUGCCUUCGGGAACUCUG
This 982-nucleotide ribosomal RNA is filed under the name uncultured marine bacterium. RNAcentral's name for it is "bacterial SSU rRNA". It matches the Rfam family "Bacterial small subunit ribosomal RNA", at positions 64 to 1031 of the family's 1533-position model. The record is from RNAcentral.